This 497-nucleotide ribosomal RNA is filed under the name uncultured bacterium. RNAcentral's name for it is "partial 16S ribosomal RNA". It matches the Rfam family "Bacterial small subunit ribosomal RNA", at positions 28 to 507 of the family's 1533-position model. The record is from RNAcentral.
GAUGAACGCUGGCGGCGUGCCUAAUACAUGCAAGUCGAGCGAACGGACGAGAAGCUUGCUUCUCUGAUGUUAGCGGCGGACGGGUGAGUAACACGUGGAUAACCUACCUAUAAGACUGGGAUAACUUCGGGAAACCGUAGCUAAUACCGGAUAAUAUUUUGAACCGCAUGGUUCAAAAGUGAAAGACGGUCUUGCUGUCACUUAUAGAUGGAUCCGCGCUGCAUUAGCUAGUUGGUAAGGUAACGGCUUACCAAGGCAACGAUGCAUAGCCGACCUGAGAGGGUGAUCGGCCACACUGGAACUGACACACGGUACAGACUCCUACGGGAGGCAGCAGUAGGGAAUCUUCCGCAAUGGGCGAAAGCCUGACGGAGCAACGCCGCGUGAAUGAUGAAGGUCUUCGGAUCGUAAAACUCUGUUAUUAGGGAAGAACAUAUGUGUAAGUAACUGUGCACAUCUUGACGGUACCUAAUCAGAAAGCCACGGCUAACUACGUG